UCGCCCGCCGCGCGCGGCGGGCGGGGCGGGGGCACGGGGGGCCUACGGGAGGCAGCAGUGAGGAAUUUUGCGCAAUGGGGGAAACCCUGACGCAGCAACGCCGCGUGAGUGAUGAAGGCCUUCGGGUCGUAAAGCUCUGUCAAGUGGGAAGAACCUGCUUCGUGAUAAUACCGCGAGGCACUGACGGUACCACUGAAGGAAGCACCGGCUAACUCCGUGCCAGCAGCCGCGGUAAUA
RNAcentral lists this ribosomal RNA (237 nucleotides) under uncultured bacterium. RNAcentral describes it as "partial 16S ribosomal RNA". It matches the Rfam family "Bacterial small subunit ribosomal RNA", at positions 284 to 525 of the family's 1533-position model. The record is from RNAcentral.